RNAcentral lists this transfer RNA (70 nucleotides) under Marmota monax (woodchuck). RNAcentral describes it as "tRNA.Ser". The stretch from base 5 to 65 matches the Rfam family "tRNA", at positions 6 to 65 of the family's 71-position model. Rfam says of the family: Transfer RNA (tRNA) molecules are approximately 80 nucleotides in length. Lineage: Eukaryota; Metazoa; Chordata; Mammalia; Rodentia; Sciuridae. The record is from RNAcentral.
GGAAUGUAGCUCAGUGGUAGAGCACUUGCCUAGAAUGCAUGAAGCUCUGGGUUUGACUCCCAGCACCCCA